UACGGAGGGUGCAAGCGUUGUCCGGAUUUAUUGGGUUUAAAGGGUGCGUAGGCGGGAGAUUAAGUCAGUGGUGAAAGCCCACAGCUCAACUGUGGAUGUGCCAUUGAUACUGGUUUUCUUGAGUAUAGUUGAGGCAGGCGGAAUUUACGAUGUAGCGGUGAAAUGCAUAGAUAUCGUAAAGAACACCUAUAGCGAAGGCAGCUUGCUAAACUAUAACUGACGCUGAGGCACGAAAGCAUGGGUAGCGAACAGG
RNAcentral lists this ribosomal RNA (253 nucleotides) under uncultured bacterium. RNAcentral describes it as "partial 16S ribosomal RNA". It matches the Rfam family "Bacterial small subunit ribosomal RNA", at positions 524 to 776 of the family's 1533-position model. The record is from RNAcentral.